This 1141-nucleotide long non-coding RNA is filed under the name Arabidopsis lyrata. RNAcentral describes it as "long non-coding RNA (ALYR_LNC001278)". The record is from RNAcentral. Lineage: Eukaryota; Viridiplantae; Streptophyta; Magnoliopsida; Brassicales; Brassicaceae.
GCGUUGAAGAUGAAACUCUUGAUCGGUGAAGAACGAAAGCAUUAGUCACUCACUUAUUGGGCCGACUGAAAUAUAAACUGGGCUUAGCCCAAGUAUGAUAUUAUUGGCCUAUGUAUGUUGGUUAUACAGGCAUAAUUCAAUAAGCAUAUGUUGGUUAUACAGGCAUAAUUCAAUAAGCAUAUGUUUGUUGUAUAUAGUAUAAUGUUGUUUGUUACAUUUUUGCAGGUGAAUGAAUACAAGUAACCUGCUCUAAAGAGGAAUAUGAUGAUGUACAUAAAGAUUAAUCUACAAAGACUAUACUUCUUUAUCUUCUAGCUUGUGUUGGACAGCUUCCACAAGUUGGAGUAACAUUGCUCCAAUGAAGUACCAUGUAACUCCUGCUAACAAUAUCUGCUGCCAUGGACUGUUAACUAUAGCUAAAGCCAGCGAGCCGCCGAUAUGGUCGUUGAGCUCAGAGGCGGCUCUGUAACUUGCUUGGUACUGAACCAAGAAUACUGCUACUAUGGCUGUCCCAAUUGGGAAUUUCUUUAUCCUGAAAUGUCUUCUAUUGUCUCUUCUACUAGCAGGUUUCUCUUCUGAAGGAAAUGUCUUACGAGUCACUUGCGGAAUCGAGCUAGCUUUGGAACUGGUGUUGUUUCCAGACGAGGGAAGAGCUGUGUUUGAUGGAGUCCAAUAAUCUUCUCCAAGCAUGUAAGCUGAUCCUUUUUCUUUAGUUUUCCCCCCGCUCUGUUCUGCUUGUUUCAUUGCUGCCACAGCAUCUUGAAGCUUUCUGAUAUCUGGAUCAACUGUUUUUUUUCGUUUGGUGAAAGUUAGACUCAUGUUUGAAUCUGGACUCAACGGUUUCGUGUACGGUGAUGAUCUCCAGUAUAGCCAAUUGGAAAUGGACCUUAUUGCCUCUACUGCACUUAUUUGUACUUCUCUCUGCAAGUAUUAAUAUAACUACUUAUUAUCUGACAGGUAAGUUUAUAACUUGGCUUUUACUACUUCUUACUUCUUAGGAUAAUGGAUAACUCACCUGGGAAGUUUCUUUCGUGGUUCGGCUCAUGGCUUUGGCGUAUCUUUCUUGGAACUUCUUGACAUCAACAAAUACAUUGGAGACACGCUCGCCAACCGUGUUUCCAACCCCGAUUCUCACGUUGCC